UGAUAAUAUAUUAUUUAAAAAUUAUGCAAAGAAUGCUUUUAGUAUGAUUUGCAAAUCACAAAAUCAUUUUUGUUUAAUUUGAAAAAAUAAUUUUCAUUUAUUUAUUUAUUUUUGAUAUUUUGAUUCUACAAAUAUGGCUUGGCUUGCCCUCUAAGCAAAUAAAUCAACAUGUCACGAUCCAACCAGAUCUAAACAUCUAACGACUACGUUUUAUCCUCCAUCAAAAUAAAUCAACAUUUUUCUUAUAUAAAAAAAUUAAUUUCUUUCCCCACCUUCAAAUUAAAAAAAACAAAAAAACACUAAUAUUUUCUUUUUAAUUUUUUCGUCUACGGUUUUCAGUCGAAGGAAGAAAGAAAAGAAAAGGAGUUCUCAAACGUUUUUGUUCGAUCACUUUAUUUCUCUCUCUAGGGUUUUCGUUUUGGAAAUUUGAUAAGAUGUUGUUGAGGCCAAACGCCAGGACGGAGGUUCGGAGGAACAGGUACAAGGUGGCGGUGGACGCGGAGGAAGGGAGGCGGAGGAGGGAGGAUAACAUGGUGGAGAUUAGGAAGAACCGCCGUGAAGAGAGCUUGCAGAAGAAGCGACGCGAAGGACUCCAAGCUCAGCCAAUGCCUGCUUCUCUUCACCCCUCUGCUGUUGAAAAAAAGUUGGAAUAUUUGCCAGCCAUGGUUGCUGCUGUCUGGACUGAUGACAGUAAUAUGCAGCUUGAGGCAACCACUCAGUUUAGGAAAUUGCUUUCAAUUGAACGCAGCCCACCCAUUGAGGAAGUGAUUCAAGCUGGUGUUGUUCCUCGCUUUGUUGAGUUCCUUAUGAGGGAAGAUUUCCCACAGCUUCAGUUUGAGGCAGCCUGGGCCCUCACAAAUAUUGCUUCUGGGACAUCGGAGAACACGAAGGUGGUAAUUGAUCAUGGGGCUGUUCCCAUAUUUGUGAAGUUACUUGGCUCCCCAAGUGAUGAUGUUCGCGAGCAGGCUGUAUGGGCAUUGGGAAAUGUUGCCGGUGAUUCUCCUAGAUGUCGUGAUCUUGUCCUUGGCCAUGGUGCUUUGCUUCCUUUGUUGGCUCAAUUGAAUGAGCAUGCUAAACUUUCUAUGCUGAGAAAUGCUACAUGGACACUCUCAAAUUUUUGUCGGGGCAAGCCCCCACCACCCUUUGAUCAGGUUAAGCCUGCACUUCCUGCAUUGGCACGUCUCAUUCAUUCAAAGGACGAAGAAGUCUUAACUGAUGCAUGUUGGGCGCUCUCAUAUCUUUCCGAUGGUACAAAUGACAAAAUCCAAGCUGUUAUAGAAGCGGGUGUAUGUGGGCGUCUGGUGGAUCUUUUGCUGCAUCUGUCUCCUUCAGUGCUAAUCCCUGCUCUUCGCACCAUUGGAAAUAUUGUCACAGGAGAUGAUGUGCAAACCCAGUUUUCUCACUCAAACAACAUUGAUGGCCCUCCUCUUAUAGUAAAAUGGAUGCAAGAUUUUUGUAUUAUCAAUCAUCAAGCUUUGCCUUGCCUUUCGAACCUGUUGAUGAAUAAUUUUAAAAAGAGCAUCAAGAAGGAAGCUUGUUGGAUGAUCUCCAAUAUCACAGCUGGAAGUAAGGAGCAGAUACAGGCUGUGAUUGAAGCUAAUAUUAUUGCUCCACUGGUUCAUCUGCUUCAAAAUGCUGAAUUUGAUAUUAAGAAAGAGGCUGCCUGGGCCAUCUCAAAUGCUACAUCUGGUGGGACUCAUGAUCAGAUCAAGUUCCUUGUAAGUCAAGGUUGUAUCAAGCCAUUGUGUGAUCUUCUUAACUGUCCUGAUCUAAGGAUAGUUACAGUUUGUCUAGAAGGGCUUGAAAACAUUUUGAAGGUAGGAGAAGCUGAUAAGAAUCUCAGCAGUGCUGGAGGUGUGAAUCUUUAUGCACAAAUGAUCGAUGAUGCAGAGGGUCUUGAGAAGAUUGAGAAUUUACAGUCUCAUGAUAACACUGAGAUCUAUGAAAAGGCUGUGAAAGUUCUCGAGACAUAUUGGUUGGAAGAGGAGGAUGAGACAAUGCCACCAGGUGACGCCUCUCAGACAGGGUUUCAUUUUGGAGGGAGUGAGUAUCCUGUCCCUUCAGGGGGAUUCAAUUUCAGCUAGAGGAAUUUUAUCUGGUUUUGUAUUGAACUCCUUACGGAUAUGAUGGAACAAUAGAUGGGUUCCAGGUCAGGCGUCUUGUCAUCAUGUUUGGCUCCUGUCCAUGGUCGGGUGUGGUGUCUGAGGAUGCAGUGUCAAGGGUGCUGAGCAUGCUUGGGUUAAAAACACAGCCAGAUAUUGGUUUUUUUGCAAUGGAGUGGAUGGGCUUCGCUCUUUUAUCAUCUUUCGUUUGGCAGUGUUACGUGGUCCACACUGAAGUAAAGUUCUAAAUUGGCCUGAAGCUUGGUGGAAAUUGGAAAGAUGCACCUAAGCUUGAAGCUUUUGCCAUCAUUGUUUUGAUCCUAUACUACAUGAUAAGAACGUAUGUAUGCUUGCUGGAGAUUAUUUCUUUUCCUAGUCAAUUUGGAGAAAGCCCAAAAGCCAAUGCCUUCUGAUAAUUCGUUUGGGCAUUAGUAUUGGGUGUAUUCAUUGCUGCUGCAUGGAAUUUUCUUCAGAAAUCAAAUGAUGAGGGGUAACAAGUUUGGGAAAUUUCCAAAGAUGGUGAAGUUUUUCUACCAUGGCUUCUGCGAGAUGGUGUGAUCAGCAAGAAGGAACGAGAAACUAAUGGUAAAUCUGGGGCGUAGAAAAGGAAAUGGACCCAAUGGUGGAACGGGGUUCUAUUUUCUAUGGUUUGUGUUUGGAUAGAACUAUUUGUUUGGUUUUUGCGUCAACAGCCAUCCCGAAAGCCUUACAAUUACAAUGCUAAAGAAAAAGCCCAGAAGGGGACAGGUUGGGUCAGCAAGGUUCUAAUUCUUCUAUGUAUUGGGUUUCAUUUAUAGGUAUGUAAGUAUAUUAAUGUAGUAAAAGUACCAUUUUAAUUUCUCCAACUACGAUAAGAAAUGGAUCAUAAAAUAUGCCAAAUGGUUAGGGAUUAACAUGCAAACAAACCAUUUUGACAUGAUUUUAUGCUACCGAGAUAAUACACAGCUUUUCUCCUCUAA
Durio zibethinus is the source of this 3061-nucleotide RNA transcript. It is a transcript of the gene named importin subunit alpha-1-like, with no coding region annotated. The record is from RefSeq and is a predicted model, not a curated record. Lineage: Eukaryota; Viridiplantae; Streptophyta; Magnoliopsida; Malvales; Malvaceae.